UCGGGCCUACGGGGGGCAGCAGUGGGGGAUAUUGCACAAUGGGGGAAACCCUGAUGCAGCGACGCCGCGUGAGCGAUGAAGUAUUUCGGUAUGUAAAGCUCUAUCAGCAGGGAACAAAAUGACGGUACCUGACUAAGAAGCCCCGGCUAACUACGUGCCAGCAGCCGCGGUAAUACGUAGGAGGCAAGCGUUAUCCGGAUUUACUGGGUGUAAAGGGAGCGUAGACGGCAGUGCAAGUCUGAAGUGAAAGGCAAGGGCUCAACCUUUGGACUGCUUUGGAAACUGUGCUGCUAGAGCGUCGGAGG
Molecule: ribosomal RNA, 305 nt
Filed under: uncultured bacterium
Lineage: Bacteria
Description: bacterial SSU rRNA
Rfam family: Bacterial small subunit ribosomal RNA
Source: RNAcentral